UUGAACAGUCGCGUAUAAAACUUGCAAAGGUUCAUAUGAGGAAAGUCCGGGCUCCAUAGAGCAAUGAUGCUGGAUAACGUCCAGUGAGGGAGACCUUAAGGAAAGUGCAACAGAAAAUAACCGCCGUACUAGAAGUUAGAAAUUAAAAGUUAGAAAACAAAAAUUUAACAUCUAAAUUCUAAUCUCUAACUUCUAGUAAGGUAAGGGUGAAAAGGUGAGGUAAGAGCUUACCGCUGGCAUGGUGACAUGCUAGGUCAAUGUAAACCCCAUCUGGAGCAACACCUAAAAAAGAAGGCUAAGGCUGCUCGCCAUCUUCUUGAAUUGGUGGCUAGAGGCAUAUAGUAAUAUAUGUUCGAGAUAAAUGACUGUUUUUAACAGAACCCGGCUUAUAGAUAUACU
RNAcentral lists this RNase P RNA (399 nucleotides) under pig gut metagenome. RNAcentral describes it as "Bacterial RNase P class A". It matches the Rfam family "Bacterial RNase P class A". From Rfam's summary of the family: Ribonuclease P (RNase P) is a ubiquitous endoribonuclease, found in archaea, bacteria and eukarya as well as chloroplasts and mitochondria. The record is from RNAcentral.